RNAcentral lists this long non-coding RNA (1736 nucleotides) under Papio anubis (olive baboon). Its description in RNAcentral is "lncRNA (ENSPANG00000047598.1)". Lineage: Eukaryota; Metazoa; Chordata; Mammalia; Primates; Cercopithecidae. The record is from RNAcentral.
GCCCCUGCUCCUCUUCCUAUCUGUGGAUGCUACAGACUCAGACUCAGGAGAGCACGGGAGGGAGUCAUCAUCUUCACUCUGCUACUUCAGUUUCCCAAGGUGUUUCUGAUGUGGGCUUAAGACACCACCUUUCCCUUCACCCCCAUACAGAUCUGGAAGCUUAAGGAUCUACCCUGAUUCUCAAACUUUGCAGCCUAUUAGAAGCAGCCCUCUAAAGCUGUGCUUCUGAAAUCUGACUGUUCAGGCGAAUCACCCAGGGGCCUUGUGGGUGUGGAUUCUGACUGCAUGUUGUGGGCUGGCCUGAGAGUCUGCCUUUCUCACAGGUACCCAGGUGAUGCCCUGCUGGGUGUAGCAAGGGUGGAGGGGGAAUGACUGAAACACAGAACAGCGGGGCUCAGCCUCGGUUGUGUUGAAACGGCCUCUGGAGUGUCAUAAGAUGUUGAUAUCUUGCCCACAUUCCCAGAAAUUCUGACUUAAUUGGUCUGGGUGUGGCCAGGGACAGGAUUUCUAAGUGUUCCCUUGGUGAUUCCUACUUGCAGCCGAGGCUGAGGGCCCCUGCUCUGAACGAUGAGUCCUGGCUCUUUGGAAAGGUCCCCACCCAGGCAGCCAGCUCUCACCACAUCUGCGAAGACUGUGCUAGACCCCCAGUAAGUGAGCUCUUUUAACCCCUUCAGCGCACGUGGAGCCAGAGGACUGCUGGAGAGCAGUGAGUGGUGACAGCCACAGCCUGUGCUCCCAGCAAAGCAGGACACAGGGAGGAGGCACGGAAGGGGUGACCACAGCUGUGUGGUUGGUCACAGGGCUGAGCCUCCCUCAGCCUCGCCUUCCUCACCUGUGAAUAGAGUCUUCAGGCCACCUUUGUGGGAUUGUCCACCAAGUACCUGACUCAGGCUACAGACCCCAUAAAUGGGAGCUAUUAUCCAUAAACAGGGCAUCCGUAGACCUGAGCAGCCAGUUGUGGAGAAGUUGAGAGCAGCUGAUGUCUGGGAUUCACGUUCGCCAGUGUGAAAAACCUGCAUGGGAAGCGAUCCCUUCUGGUCAAUGCGAGACCCUGCCGUUUUCUGUGAGGGUUCACUGUUAUCAUUACCUACUGCUGCCCUGCCGUGAAGUCAGGGCCAGAAUGGCUUCAUUUUAAAGACUCGGACAGUGAAAACCAAAGUAUUUUAGAACGUAAUGUCUUCCUCAGAAAGUUUCUGUGUUUUGAGGUGAGAGAAUGUCACUUUAAAAAAAUAAAAGCAGGCCGAGCAUGAUGGCUUAUGCCUGUAAUCCCAGCACUUUGGGAGGCUGAGGCGGACGGAUCAUGAGGUAAAGAGUUCGAGACCAGACUGGCCAAUAUGGUGAAACCCCAUCUCUACUAAAAAUACAAAAAUUAGCUGAGCCUGGUGGCGCGUGCCUGUAAUCCCAGCUACUCGAGAGGCUGAGACAGGAGAAUCACUUGAACCUGGGAGGUGGAAGUUGCAGUGAGCCGAGAUCACACCACUGCACUCCAGCCUGGGGCUCAGCAAGACUCUGUCUCAGAAAAUAAAUAAAUAAAUAAGCAAACAAAAAAAAAUGGAGUAUGCUUUAUUAUAUAAUGGAGUAUACUGAAUAAACCCCAUGCCACGUCGACCGGAAACUAGUUAAAGACCGGGGAUUUAUUUGUUCAUAUUAAAAAGGCAACUUUGUAUACAAUUCUUGGGAGGUUUGACUUUCCUCUGCUGCUCAUGAAAUAUGGAAUGUCUGUCUCUUAAGCAAGA